UACCAGUGUUGACUUGACAAAAGCGAAUUAAAUGAAAGUGAACGGAAGAAAACCACAUUGAGAGUGACCUGCCGAUAACUAAACUGUCGCCGAAGCGGUCGCUGGUUUAAGUAACUUCACGCGCGCUCAUUAAACCCGGUGGCUGCCGCGUAUCCAUUAGCUUGUAGCACUAGCUUAACGUGCUAAGCUAUUAGCCUCGUCUGCUGACGUCGGUCUGCAAGUUUGGCGUUUUCUGAGGGUUUCAGUCUCUUUCCGCUUCAGAGAGCAAGAUGGCUGCCCCGAGAAGAAGCUAAAGAACUGAUCAUCAAUCAAUGAUACGGGGAUGGCUGCCCCACGAAGAAGCUAAAGAACCGAUCAUCAAUCAACGCUGAGGAGACGGCGCUCCCAAAAAGAAGCUAAAGAACUGAUCAUCAAUCAACGAUAAGGAGCCGCUGCACCUGGCGGGAGUUUCCCUCUGCUCCUCGUGUGUGAAGCAGAUGGCAAACAAGAAACCGCUCCUCUCCCGCCAGAGCCACCCCGAUUUCUGCGACCAACUUUUUGCGGACGUGCCAAAUAACUCCAAGAAGUCUCGAUGCUCUCCAAAGUUGUGCUGGGCUUGGACCGAAUGCAGCGGACUGCGAAAGGGUCCCCACUGACGACAUACGCAAACAGGCCGGUUGGGCUGGAGGGGAGAAGAGUCGGUAUCACGGUGAGGCUCGCCUGACUCGGAGCGGGAGCCGCCUUCUGUCUAGCGUCAGAUCGCAGGAGAGUGAAGGAGAUGAGAUGUGAUUUUGGCUCACUCAGCAACGGGAGAUCUUGGACCGCUGCUCACUCCUCACAGAGACGUGGUUAACACCUGACAUCCCGGAUCAAGCUGUUGCACUGGAUGGACUGACAACGGAAGUUCAAAAUGCUCGGGCGUCAAGUGACUCACGGAGGCUUCGAAUAGUUCCCGGAAGUCUCUGGCGGGCCAUUUAAUGACAUUAUACAGGGAGACGAAACUCUGAUUUUCGCUAAAUAGCAGUCAAUAACUGCAUUGAUUUACAAUAUAAACAAAGCGCAUGGUAUUUAGUUUCAUUAUUUUAUUGUUUUUUUAAAGUAAAUGGUGCUAAUAUUUAAAGAUUAAUGUUAACAGCUAGAAUUAGAUUAGACCGAAUAGUCUCACACU
Molecule: non-coding RNA, 1147 nt
Organism: Plectropomus leopardus (leopard coralgrouper)
Lineage: Eukaryota; Metazoa; Chordata; Actinopteri; Perciformes; Serranidae
Source: RefSeq, a predicted model, not a curated record